RNAcentral lists this ribosomal RNA (465 nucleotides) under uncultured bacterium. RNAcentral's name for it is "partial 16S ribosomal RNA". It matches the Rfam family "Bacterial small subunit ribosomal RNA", at positions 28 to 507 of the family's 1533-position model. The record is from RNAcentral.
GACGAACGCUGGCGGCGUGCUUAACACAUGCAAGUCGAACGGAAAGGCCCCUUUGGGGGUACUCGAGUGGCGAACGGGUGAGUAACACGUGAGUAACCUGCCCUGGACUUCGGGAUAACUUCAGGAAACUGGGGCUAAUACCGGAUAGGAAUCCUUGCUGCAUGGUGGGGGUUGGAAAGCUUCGGCGGUUUUGGAUGGACUCGCGGCUUAUCAGCUUGUUGGUGGGGUAGUGGCUUACCAAGGCUUUGACGGGUAGCCGGCCUGAGAGGGCGACCGGCCACAUUGGGACUGAGAUACGGCCCAGACUCCUACGGGAGGCAGCAGUGGGGAAUAUUGCACAAUGGGCGGAAGCCUGAUGCAGCAACGCCGCGUGCGGGAGGACGGCCUUCGGGUUGUAAACCGCUUUCAGCAGGGGCGAAGCUUGUGGUGACGGUACCUGCAGAAGAAGCACCGGCUAACUACGUG